RNAcentral lists this long non-coding RNA (1029 nucleotides) under Daucus carota (carrot). RNAcentral describes it as "long non-coding RNA (DCAR_LNC003029)". The record is from RNAcentral. Lineage: Eukaryota; Viridiplantae; Streptophyta; Magnoliopsida; Apiales; Apiaceae.
GCAACUCUCAAAUCCUCAACACUUAGUACACUUCAAAAAUUGAAAGAAAUAUACAAAUUUAGAUCACGUUAACAAAUUCAGUAUAUAUGUGGCAAUAUAAUAAAGCAUCACGCAUCAGCUAAUUUAGUAGGCAUCAAACUUAUACUCUCAUUUACUUCAAUAUCAUCGUAAAUCGUGUAAACAUAGGUUUAUACCAACAAAAUCAACAGAACCGAAAUAUGAACAAACCUAAUCGAAUACAAAACACAUAUCCACACAACAUACGCCUAAUCACAGGAACUUCAAAAGCUGUACGUAAUACGAACAAAUCCUGCAGAUUGGUAAAAAAAUCGAUAUGAACUUUCUUUUUCUCUUCACAACUUAGAAAAAGACGCAGCACGAAAAAAACACAUACCUAAUGACGGAUUCAGAAGCUGUAGCGACGAGUGGAACAAAAUCAACAUAACAGAAAUAUGAACAAACACAUAUCUACACAACAUAAUCGAGUACGCAACACAUAUCUACACAACAUACGCCUAAUCAGAAGAACUUCAAUCGCUGUAAUACGAACAAAUCCUGCAGAACGGAAAAAAAAACGAUAUGAACUUUCUUCUACUCUUCACAACUUAGAAAAAGACGCAGCAGAACAAUGCAUCACAUACCUAAUCGCGGAUUCAGAUGGUGUAGCGACGAGAGGAUGCAGUGGGAGCCGGAAACUGAACGAAGAAUACUCGGUUUCCCGAUCUCGUUACCGGCGGCAAUUCUCGUGGCGGCGGCGGCGGAACCAGGAGAUGGAGGCCAUCAGCACGUCGAGCAUCCGAUCCGGAGAAAAAACGGUGGAUAAAACCGUGGACGAGAACGUACAUCAAGCUUCCGGCGGUCAUCAAAGCAAUCGAUGCCAAAUCAACACUUAAAUUGUGCUCAUGAUUGUGAUUGAGAUUGAAUUCUUUGUAAUCCAGCUUAUGAAUCAUCUUCAGAAACUCGUGAUACACAACGAAAAUGGAACUAGGUUUAACAUUAAGCCCUAAUUGCCGAGUUUAAAGGCGCGCG